CUAUCAUGGAGAGUUUGAUCCUGGCUCAGGACGAACGCUGGCGGCGUGCUUAACACAUGCAAGUCGAACGAGAAGACAUGAGAAGCUUGCUUCUUAUCGAUUCGAGUGGCAAACGGGUGAGUAACGCGUAAGCAACCUGCCCUUCAGAUGGGGACAACAGCUGGAAACGGCUGCUAAUACCGAAUACGUUCUUUCCGCCGCAUGACGGGAAGAAGAAAGGGAGGCCUUC
RNAcentral lists this ribosomal RNA (229 nucleotides) under Megasphaera sp. DISK 18. RNAcentral's name for it is "partial 16S ribosomal RNA". It matches the Rfam family "Bacterial small subunit ribosomal RNA", at positions 1 to 216 of the family's 1533-position model. Lineage: Bacteria; Bacillati; Bacillota; Negativicutes; Veillonellales; Veillonellaceae. The record is from RNAcentral.